This 406-nucleotide ribosomal RNA is filed under the name uncultured bacterium. Its description in RNAcentral is "partial 16S ribosomal RNA". It matches the Rfam family "Bacterial small subunit ribosomal RNA", at positions 29 to 526 of the family's 1533-position model. The record is from RNAcentral.
AUUGAACGCUGGCGGCAGGCCUAACACAUGUAAGUCGAACGAGUGGCGGACGGGUGAGUAAUGUCUGGGCAACUGCCCGUUGGGGGGGGAUAACUACUGGAAACAGUAGCUAAUACCGCAUACCAUCGGAUGUGCCCAGAUGGGAUUAGCUAGUAGGUGGGGUAACGGCUAACCUGGGCGAGGAUCCCUAGCUGGUCCGAGGGGAUGACCGCCCAAACGGGACCUGAGACACGGCCCAGACCCCGAGGGGAGGAAGCAGUGGGGAAUAUUGGACAAGGGGCGAAAGCCGGAGGCAGCCAGGCGGCGUGGAUGAAGAAGGCCUUGGGGUUGUAAAGUACUUUCAGCGAGGAGGCGGUACUCGCAGAAGAAGCACCGGCUAACUCCGUGCCAGCAGCCGCGGUAAUAC